RNAcentral lists this ribosomal RNA (460 nucleotides) under uncultured Treponema sp. RNAcentral describes it as "partial 16S ribosomal RNA". It matches the Rfam family "Bacterial small subunit ribosomal RNA", at positions 341 to 792 of the family's 1533-position model. The record is from RNAcentral. Lineage: Bacteria; Pseudomonadati; Spirochaetota; Spirochaetia; Treponematales; Treponemataceae.
ACGGAAGGCAGCAGUAGGGAAUCUUCCGCAAUGGACGAAAGUCUGACGGAGCGACGCCGCGUGGAUGAUGAAGGCCGGAAGGCUGUAAAAUCCUUUUAUAACUGAGGAAUAAGCAGUGUGAGAGAAACGCACUGUGGUGACUGUAGGUUAUGAAUAAGCAACGGCUAAUUACGUGCCAGCAGCCGCGGUAACACGUAAGUUGCGAGCGUUGUUCGGAAUUAUUGGGCGUAAAGGGCAUGUAGGCGGUUUUGCAAGCUUGGUGUGAAAUCCCGGAGCUUAACUCCGGAAUUGCGUUGAGAACUGCAUAACUAGAGUCACUGAGGGGCAAUCAGAAUUCCAGGUGUAGGGGUGAAAUCUGUAGAUAUCUGGAAGAAUACCAAUGGCGAAGGCAGGUUACCAGCAGAUGACUGACGCUGAGGUGCGAAGGUGCGGGGAGCAAACAGGAUUAGAUACCCUGGUA